UACGGAAGGCAGCAGUGGGGAAUAUUGCACAAUGGGCGAAAGCCUGAUGCAGCUAUGCCGCGUGUAUGAAGAAGGCCUUAGGGUUGUAAAGUACUUUCAUCGGGGAGGAAAAAACAAAAACUAAUAAUUUUAUUUCUUGACGUUACCCGAAAAAGAAGCACCGGCUAACUCCGUGCCAGCAGCCGCGGUAAUACGGAGGGUGCUAGCGUUAAUCAGAAUUACUGGGCGUAAAGAGCACGUAGGUGGUUUUUUUAAAGUUCAGAUGUGAAAUCCCUGGGCUUAACCUAGGAACUGCAUUUUGAAACUGAAAUACUAGAGUAUCGUAGAGGGAGGUAGAAUUCUAGGUGUAGCGGUGAAAUGCGUAGAUAUCUGGAGGAAUACCGGUGGCGAAGGCGGCCCCUGGACAAAGACUGACGCUCAUGUGCGAAAGCGUGGGGAGCAAACAGGGAUUUAGAUACC
Molecule: ribosomal RNA, 459 nt
Filed under: uncultured bacterium
Lineage: Bacteria
Description: bacterial SSU rRNA
Rfam family: Bacterial small subunit ribosomal RNA
Source: RNAcentral